GUCGUGAGAUGUUGGGUUAAGUCCCGCAACGAGCGCAACCCCCGUCCCAUGUUGCCAGCAUUAAGUUGGGGACUCAUGGGAGACUGCCGGUGACAAACCGGAGGAAGGUGGGGAUGACGUCAAGUCAUCAUGCCCCUUAUGUCCAGGGCUACACACGUGCUACAUUGGCCGAUACAGAGGGUUGCGAUGCCGUGAGGUGGAGCGAAUCCCAAAAAGUCGGUCUCGGUUCGGAUUGGAGGCUGAAACUCGCCUCCAUGAAGUUGGAGUUGCUAGUAAUCGCGGAUCAGCAACGCCGCGGUGAAUACGUUCCCGGGCCUUGUACACACCGCCCGUCACACCACGAAAGCGGGCAACACCCGAAGCCGGUGAGCUAACCCUUACGGGAAGCAGCCGUCGAAGGUGGGGCUCGUGAUUGGGGUGAAGUCGUAACAAGGUAGCCGUAGCGGAAGCUGCGGCUGGAUCACCUCCUUUCUAGGGAGACCUAGAUAUGUCGACCGGGCUUGACCCGCGGCGCCUCGUGCGCCGUGGCGGCGCUGCUCAGUUCUCAGAGACAGCCGGCGGGAAACCCCCGUGCGGUCGCCUCCGUGGUCCUUGAAAACUGCAUUAGGCCAAGCGCUCCUCCCUUGCAAUUGCCGGGGUGGGGCGCUGAUGAGCGCUCCAUUUGAUGAGCCGGAGCGCUCACGGGUAAAAGAAGCCGAGCUCGAGCGUACUCACGCUCGAGCAGCUCACCGUCAAGAUAGUAAGGGCACACGGUGGAUGCCUUGGCACCAGGAGACGAAGAAGGACGUGGACGGCUGCGAUAAGCCACGGCGAGGCGCUGAACAGCCAUUGACCCGUGGAUCU
Molecule: small RNA, 843 nt
Filed under: uncultured Rubrobacterales bacterium
Lineage: Bacteria; Bacillati; Actinomycetota; Rubrobacteria; Rubrobacterales
Description: bacterial SSU rRNA
Rfam family: Bacterial small subunit ribosomal RNA (bases 1-471)
Source: RNAcentral